Molecule: long non-coding RNA, 894 nt
Organism: Esox lucius (northern pike)
Lineage: Eukaryota; Metazoa; Chordata; Actinopteri; Esociformes; Esocidae
Exons: 2
Source: RefSeq, a predicted model, not a curated record
UCAGUCACAAAGCCUAAGUCCCUGUGGAUAAAUGGAUAAACACUUGUUUAAACCAACAGGGCAACUCUCCAACAAUAAACAAGGGACACAAUUGUCAAAUAUAAUGUAGGCUACGACCUCGAAAGUCUAACCGUCUGACGUCAGCCAACGUCAUAUCAUCACAUGAUCAUGCAGCACAUAAUGUGACAGAUGACCAAUGAAAACAUAAAACAUGAACCUACCUCGGCGCUCCCCCCUCUGGCCGCCCCACCCUGAGUGUCUGGCUGUAGCUGCACUGUCUGGUGGCUCCCUAUCUACAGUUUGGCCAUGAGAACAGCUACAGGGGAGACUGAUGAUUAUUCUGUCCAUGUUUCAUCUUCUCUGCAUAUCCUGUGUGCCAGUACCAAUUACGCUUGCCUCCCUCGAAAAUACACAGUGAAGUCAUUUUAGCAGACACUAUUCAGAGCAACUUAAAGUACCGAGGGCAUACAAACUUUUUUUUCAAAGGCACAUACACAUAAACAGACACUCAUUAGUUGCAAAUAAAGUCAGUUAUCCACAUAAAAACACUCUGUUUCACCCUAUAUCUUAUGCAUGUCAGGUACACAUGCCAACAGACAAACAGGCUUGCUCAUACUUUAGGCAUCUUUCCAGGCACAAACACAUGGAUACCCUUCCGUACUGCUUGCACAGUGAGCCUGUGUCCUUUGGUGUGGACCAUAAUGAAGUCCGGGAUCACAGGGGUGCUGGGUUGUGCUGCUCAUGGACAGUUGGAGGCUAAUUGUCUUUACCCUAUAUAAAACAGGAAAUCAUACAACAGAACAACCUUACAUGGAUGUGGUGCCACAUUCCUGAUAAUAGGCCCGUCGCUGAAUCACAAUUGGCUGUGUACUGCAAUAAAAUGGACGUGUGGCA